Molecule: ribosomal RNA, 497 nt
Filed under: uncultured bacterium
Lineage: Bacteria
Description: partial 16S ribosomal RNA
Rfam family: Bacterial small subunit ribosomal RNA
Source: RNAcentral
GAUGAACGCUGGCGGCGUGCCUAAUACAUGCAAGUCGAGCGAACGGACGAGAAGCUUGCUUCUCUGAUGUUAGCGGCGGACGGGUGAGUAACACGUGGAUAACCUACCUUUAAGACUGGGAUAACUUCGGGAAACCGGAGCUAAUACCGGAUGAUAUUUUGAACCGAAUGGUUCAAAAGUGAAGACCGGUCUUGCUGUCACUUAUAGAUGGAUCCGCGCUGCAUUAGCUAGUUGGUAAGGUAACGGCUUACCAAGGCAACGAUGCAUAGCCGACCUGAGAGGGUGAUCGGCCACACUGGAACUGAGACACGGUCCAGACUCCUACGGGAGGCAGCAGUAGGGAAUCUUCCGCAAUGGGCGAAAGCCUGACGGAGCAACGCCGCGUGAGUGAUGAAGGUCUUCGGAUCGUAAAACUCUGUUAUUAGGGAAGAACAUAUGUGUAAGUAACUGUGCACAUCUUGACGGUACCUAAUCAGAAAGCCACGGCUAACUACGUG